Long non-coding RNA from Stegostoma tigrinum, 3410 nucleotides. RefSeq lists it as uncharacterized. The transcript has 4 exons. Lineage: Eukaryota; Metazoa; Chordata; Chondrichthyes; Orectolobiformes; Stegostomatidae. The record is from RefSeq and is a predicted model, not a curated record.
GUGAAAAUGCCCAAAGGCUCACUAAAUAUAUGUGAGGAGAGAGGAAGUUCCUACUUUUUGUGCAGAUAAUUUAAAGGAAUCAGCACAAGGGACAGACUUAAUAGGGAUUACGAAGGUUACAUAGUGAAGAACUGAGAGAGAUGUAAUCAACAGGCGGGCCUGAUAACUCAUGGGCAGCAAGUCUAUGGUCCUUUAUACAUGAGAUGACAGCCCACAACAGGGUGGAAAGAGCCAGUGUGGGUGCAGAGCUGGCAGCCAUCGGACAGAUGAGGACAGAAUUCUGCCUCUCUUUGGAGAAGAUGAGGUCCACAUCUACAUGGGUGUUGCGGUAUCCAUGUCCCGCCAACUGAUGCGGAAAGCGACCAUUUGGCCCAUCAAGUCUGCACUGACCCUCUGAGGAACAUCUCAACCAGACCCACAAUUGUGAUCUUUUAGCUCUGACCUCCAGCUUCAAAGCAUGUUGAAUCAUUAGGAAAGGCAAACACAAUCUAUGCAUGAUGUAGAGGUGUCAGUGUUGGAAUGAUAUGGACAAGGUCAGAAAUCACACGACACCAGGUUAUUGUGUAACUGGUUUAUUUGAAAACAAAAGCUUUUGGAGUCUCACUCCUUCUUCAGGUGUUAGUGAGAGACUUAGUAUCAGACGCAGAAUUUAUAAAUAAAAGGUUAAGGUUUGAUGAGGAUGUACUAAACAAACUUAAGAUGCUGUUAAAUCUUUAAUCAGUUGGAAGGCUUUAAUUGAUUAAUAUAUAUUUGUAAAUCCCCGAAUUUCUUUCAAGUCACUCCUGAGAGAACUAAAGGUUUUAUCAGUGUAAAGAGGUGACUGUCAGACAAUGCAUGUGAGACCUUGCUUAGAAUCUGUUUUUGUUUUAAUUUUGAGUCUGACUGGUUUUAUUUCUAAAGUAAGAAUAUAUAAAACACCAUACUGACUGACUGUCUACAAAUUGGUGCUUUAAAUUUACGUGUGUGUGCGCACAUGUGAGGGAGAGUGUGUGUGUGUGUGUGUGUGUGUUUGUGUGUGGCAGAAAGAGUGGUUGUGUGUGCAUGUUGGAGAGAGAGAUUGUUUGUGUGUGUGUAUGGAAGAUAGACUGUGUAUGGGUGUCUGUGUGUGUGUGAGAGGGAGAGAGAGAGAGAGAGAGAAAGAGAGAGAUGAGUGUGUGCGUUUGGGACAGAGAGGGUGCUUGUGUGUUUGUGUGUGUGUUAGAGAGAGAGAGACUGUGUGAGUGUGUGUGCGCGCAUGUGUGUGUGUGUGUGUGUGUGUGUGUGUGUGUGUGUGUGUGUGUGUGUGUGUGAGAGAGAGAGAGAGAGAGAGAAUUACAGUCUGGUGGGGUCAGCUGUAGUGCGACAUGAACCCAAGAUCCCAGUUAAGGCCAUCCUCAUAGGCACCGAACUUGGCCAUCAGCCUCUGCUCAGUGACUCUGUGUUGUUGUGUCUCCCAAAGUCCACCAUGGAAAACGUUUACCCAAAGAUCCGAGGCCGAGGCCGAAUAUCCUUGACCACAAUCCGUUCAAGGUGGCUUUAACUGAUGUGUUCAUUCACUCAUGCUAUACUUUUAAAUUGUUAGUGUCUUCUUUUGAAACAAAAAACAAGUUUGACAUGAGCAUCAUUGAUUGGAACAUUGAGAAAUAAAGACCUGUCCAAGGUGAGUGAUUUUUGAGGCCACUACCAGAUUUCUAAAGUUGUUAGCAGCUGUGAUUGGUCCAAUCGAUCACUGCAGUCACAGUGAUGCUACAUAAAGGUCAAUGUCGAGUCACAUGGAUGGCAAGAUAAUCAGACAAAGCAUGACAAGUUGUGUUUAAUAAUUCACAAGAAGGAUCAGAAAAAGAUUCUUUAAUAAAGCACAACAUUUGGCUGAUAUUUCACUUUCAUUUGGAUGAACUAUUUGUGCGUGUAGUGACUAGUUUGGGAAAGUGCUGCUAGACAAAAGACUUCAGAAAUAUACCUCAAGUAGACUGCAGAUUGAGGUGCUCACAUUAAGCGAUUCACUGCAUAACCAUUCCCUGAAGAGGGUGGGGGUGGGAUCAAGCUGGAAAGAAAGAUCAUUUUAUUCAAUAUGUUGAACUGAGGGCUGUGGAACAAAAUCAUUGCCAGGAAAUCGCAGUUCUUACUUCCACUGAAUGUGACAUGAUACGCGUUCAUACUUCCAUUGGCUGCAACCCUGAAACUGAUUACAAGUUUUAAAGAAGUGUACCAUAAGCUAUCUGCAGGAGAGGGGAAUGAAUUAUUUAUUUGGGUAGUUACAGAAUGUGGAAAUCCUGACAAAGCAACCACCUUCAUUGCACCUCUAAUUGCCCUCCAACAUGUGGGGAACUGCCUUGCCUCCUUGAACUACUUGAGCCUGUAUCAUAAAAUACCUCAACGAUGAGUAUGGGGAGGUGGGGAGGGGAGAGGAACAUGUGCACAACAUUUAUAUUUUAUGGAUGAAUAUAAGUAAAUUUAUUUCCCUGUUUUGGUAUUUUUACCAAUUGUGGCCCACCACUUCACCCAUGCCUUUAAUGUACCCUGAAAGAACUUGAAUGACACUGGGUCCUCUCCAAUGCCUUGAGAAUAAGUUAUUGUUCACGUGUGAGCUUUGUCUGUGGGUGUCUCAUCAAUUCAUUUAACUGCACAAAGCAUCACAGAAACGAUUAAUCCUGUCCUCACCUGAUUCGCAGAAGGGCAUAUUAAAGAAAGGGGAGUGUGUGAAGUUGAGAGAUGUGAGUGAAUUUCAGCAAGUUGUAGGUGACUGUAAGACCAUGAUGUCUUCAGAUAUAGGAGCAGAGUUAGGCCAUUCAGCCCAUCGAGUCUGCUCGACCAUUCAAGUAUGGCUGAUGUGUUUCAAAGCCCUAUUCUCCUGUUUUCUCCCCCUAACCUUUGAUCCUCUUACUGAUCAAUAAUCUAUCUAUCUCUGUCUUAAAGGCAUGUAAUGACUUGGCCUCCACAGACGUUUGUGGCAACUAAAAACAUGGUCAUCAAAAAAGCUAGAUACACAAGAGGCCAGGGUUUGAAGGGUGCAGAUAACUGAGAGGAUUGUGGGGCUGGAGGAGUUUACAGUGAGAGGAAGCGGUAAAUCCGUAGAAGUAUUUCAAAACAAGGUUAAGAAUUUUGAAUUCAAAAUCAUAGGAUUGCACUGUACAGAAGAAUCCCUUUGGCCCAUUGAGUCUGUAUUGCCAAAAGUACAUGACUGACACCAGCUCGCUUUCCAACAGUGGGCCCAUAGCCACUUCAAGUGCUCAUUCAAGUACUUUUUAAAGAUUCUGAGAUGUCCUGCCUCUCCUGCAGGCAGCACACUCCAGAUUCCAAAAUCAUUCCAAAAUUGAUAAGCAAAUAAUAAGCAAGCCACCCACUGCAGUUUCCCUUCCUCCCUGCUGCUGUGCUAUAAGCCCCUACUAAUAACAGCCAGGGUACAGUAACUUCAUUAACCACCAUCUCAA